RNAcentral lists this ribosomal RNA (259 nucleotides) under uncultured bacterium. Its description in RNAcentral is "partial 16S ribosomal RNA". It matches the Rfam family "Bacterial small subunit ribosomal RNA", at positions 96 to 353 of the family's 1533-position model. The record is from RNAcentral.
CGGCGGACGGGUGAGUAACGCGUGGGUAACCUGCCUCAUACAGGGGGAUAACAGUUGGAAACGGCUGCUAAUACCGCAUAAGCGCACAGUACCGCAUGGUACCGUGUGAAAAACUCCGGUGGUACAAGAUGGACCCGCGUCUGAUUAGCUAGUUGGUAAGGUAACGGCUUACCAAGGCGACGAUCAGUAGCCGACCUGAGAGGGUGACCGGCCACAUUGGGACUGAGACACGGCCCAAACUCCUACGGGAGGCAGCAUG